This 253-nucleotide ribosomal RNA is filed under the name uncultured bacterium. RNAcentral's name for it is "partial 16S ribosomal RNA". It matches the Rfam family "Bacterial small subunit ribosomal RNA", at positions 524 to 776 of the family's 1533-position model. The record is from RNAcentral.
UACAGGGGGGGCAAGCGUUGUUCGGAAUUACUGGGCGUAAAGGGCCAGUAGGCGGCCUGCUAAGUCCGACGUGAAAUCCCCAAGCUUAACUUGGGAACUGCGUCGGAUACUGGUGGGCUUGAAUUCUGUUGAGGUGGGCGGAAUACAUCAUGUAGCGGUGAAAUGCUUAGAUAUGAUGUAGAACACCGAUUGCGAAGGCAGCUCACUAAGCAGACAUUGACGCUGAGGCACGAAAGCGUGGGGAUCAAACAGG